GAGGCGCUGUCUACGAGUCGGG
Molecule: small nuclear RNA, 22 nt
Filed under: Arabidopsis thaliana (thale cress)
Lineage: Eukaryota; Viridiplantae; Streptophyta; Magnoliopsida; Brassicales; Brassicaceae
Description: snRNA_01983
Source: RNAcentral